This 1343-nucleotide ribosomal RNA is filed under the name uncultured bacterium. RNAcentral describes it as "16S ribosomal RNA". It matches the Rfam family "Bacterial small subunit ribosomal RNA", at positions 28 to 1378 of the family's 1533-position model. The record is from RNAcentral.
GACGAACGUUGGCGGCGUGCUUAACACAUGCAAGUCGAACGGAAAGGCCCUGCUUUUGUGGGGUGCUCGAGUGGCGAACGGGUGAGUAACACGUGAGUAACCUGCCCUUGACUUUGGGAUAACUUCAGGAAACUGGGGCUAAUACCGGAUAGGAGCUCCUGCUGCAUGGUGGGGGUUGGAAAGUUUCGGCGGUUGGGGAUGGACUCGCGGCUUAUCAGCUUGUUGGUGGGGUAGUGGCUUACCAAGGCUUUGACGGGUAGCCGGCCUGAGAGGGUGACCGGCCACAUUGGGACUGAGAUACGGCCCAGACUCCUACGGGAGGCAGCAGUGGGGAAUAUUGCACAAUGGGCGGAAGCCUGAUGCAGCAACGCCGCGUGCGGGAUGACGGCCUUCGGGUUGUAAACCGCUUUCGCCUGUGACGAAGCGUGAGUGACGGUAAUGGGUAAAGAAGCACCGGCUAACUACGUGCCAGCAGCCGCGGUGAUACGUAGGGUGCGAGCGUUGUCCGGAUUUAUUGGGCGUAAAGGGCUCGUAGGUGGUUGAUCGCGUCGGAAGUGUAAUCUUGGGGCUUAACCCUGAGCGUGCUUUCGAUACGGGUUGACUUGAGGAAGGUAGGGGAGAAUGGAAUUCCUGGUGGAGCGGUGGAAUGCGCAGAUAUCAGGAGGAACACCAGUGGCGAAGGCGGUUCUCUGGGCCUUUCCUGGCGCUGAGGAGCGAAAGCGUGGGGAGCGAACAGGCUUAGAUACCCUGGUAGUCCACGCUGUAAACGGUGGGUACUAGGUGUGGGGUCCAUUCCACGGGUUCCGUGCCGUAGCUAACGCUUUAAGUACCCCGCCUGGGGAGUACGGCCGCAAGGCUAAAACUCAAAGGAAUUGACGGGGCCCCGCACAAGCGGCGGAGCAUGCGGAUUAAUUCGAUGCAACGCGUAGAACCUUACCUGGGUUUGACAUGGAUCGGGAGUGCUCAGAGAUGGGUGUGCCUCUUUUGGGGUCGGUUCACAGGUGGUGCAUGCCUGUCGUCAGCUCGUGUCGUGAGAUGUUGGGUUAAGUCCCGCAACGAGCGCAACCCUUGUUCACUGUUGCCAGCACGUUAUGGUGGGGACUCAGUGGAGACCGCCGGGGUCAACUCGGAGGAAGGUGGGGAUGACGUCAAGUCCUCAUGCCCCUUAUGUCCAGGGCUUCACGCAUGCUACAAUGGCUGGUACAGAGAGUGGCGAGCCUGUGAGGGUGAGCGAAUCUCGGAAAGCCGGUCUCAGUUCGGAUUGGGGUCUGCAACUCGACCUCAUGAAGUCGGAGUCGCUAGUAAUCGCAGAUCAGCAACGCUGCGGUGAAUACGUUCCCGGG